Molecule: ribosomal RNA, 460 nt
Filed under: uncultured bacterium
Lineage: Bacteria
Description: partial 16S ribosomal RNA
Rfam family: Bacterial small subunit ribosomal RNA
Source: RNAcentral
CCUACGGGAGGCAGCAGUGAGGAAUAUUGGUCAAUGGGCGUAAGCCUGAACCAGCCAAGUCGCGUGAGGGAUGAAGGUUCUAUGGAUCGUAAACCUCUUUUAUAAGGGAAUAAAGUGUGGGACGUAACCUAUUUUGUACUUACCUUAUGAAUAAGGAUCGGCUAACUCCGUGCCCACAGCCGCGGUAAUACGGAGGAUCCGAGCGUUAUCCGGAUUUAUUGGGUUGAAGGGGUACGUAGGCGGCAUUUUAAGUCAGCGGUGAAAUUCUGUGGCUAAACCAUAGGAUUGCCUUUGAAACUGGGGGGCUUGAGUAUGUGUGAGGCUAGCGGAAUGCGUGGUGUAGCGGUGAAAUGCUUAGAUAUCACGCAGAACCACGAUUGCGAAGGCGGCCUGCCAGGCCAUGACUGACGCUGAUGACCGAAAGCGUGGGGAUCAAACAGGAUUAGAUACCCCAGUAGUC